CCUAGAGGGGGACAACAGUUGGAAACGACUGCUAAUACCGCAUACGAUCCAAUCUCGGCAUCGAGACUGGAUGAAAGGUGGCCUCUAUUUAUAAGCUAUCACUGAAGGAGGGGAUUGCGUCUGAUUAGCUAGUUGGAGGGGUAACGGCCCACCAAGGCGAUGAUCAGUAGCCGGUCUGAGAGGAUGAACGGCCACAUUGGGACUGAGACACGGCCCAG
This 218-nucleotide ribosomal RNA is filed under the name uncultured bacterium. Its description in RNAcentral is "partial 16S ribosomal RNA". It matches the Rfam family "Bacterial small subunit ribosomal RNA", at positions 130 to 334 of the family's 1533-position model. The record is from RNAcentral.